Molecule: transfer RNA, 99 nt
Filed under: Pseudogymnoascus sp. VKM F-3775
Lineage: Eukaryota; Fungi; Ascomycota; Leotiomycetes; Thelebolales; Thelebolaceae
Rfam family: tRNA
About the family: Transfer RNA (tRNA) molecules are approximately 80 nucleotides in length. Their secondary structure includes four short double-helical elements and three loops (D, anti-codon, and T loops).
Source: Rfam by way of RNAcentral
GCUCUCGUAGCUCAGUUGGUAGAGCGCGGCACUAGUACCAUGCGUUAGUCACGUGAUGCCGAGAUGCCGAGGUCUACGGUUCAACUCCGUACGGGAGCA